CUUGUAUAUUAUCACAAGCACUUGAAAUUAAGAGUAGCUAUGGUUAAACUUCUUAGCAACAAGACUACCUUUCUUUCACUCUUGUUCUGCUUCCUCAUCCUUGCAGCCUUCGGUAUGUAGCGUAGUUAGUUGUAUAUCUUCGUAUGUAUUUCUCUAGCAGCCAAAUAACACCCCACCCCAGGGCUUGACAUUAUAAUAAUUAAAAUGAAAGUAUUGUUUCUCACAUAGAAAGUACCAAAUUAUAUAUGAUUAUAAACUACACUAUGGGUUUUUGUGUCUAUUGAACCACCCACUGAAAAACUUGAGCUCUUAGAUAGAUUUUUAAUUAGCUUAUACUGUCAAAUGCAUUAUAUAUUUUUUCGCAUUUUUAUUACGGCAUUUAGCUCAACCUAAUCCAAUUUCUUGGCAGAGGCGCAAAUCGGGGAGGCAACAUGCAAAAGGCCAAGCAAAGGAUAUUGGAGAUGUGUCCCUUACCAGUGUAGCUUAUACUGUAAGCAAUACGAAGGAGCUUCCUAUGGUUCUUGUAUCAAGAAACACUGGGGUGGUUAUUAUUGCUAUUGCCACUACCGCCAAUGCUGAACGAGUUUCGUAACUUAUUAUGUAAUCACAUGGUGAUACUGAAACUGUAUAUGUAACAUACACUAAAUAAAAGCUGCCCGUGUGUGAUUCUGAGCAGCAAUUACAGUAAUAUCACCAGUGAACUGUUGCUGAAUUGUUAUAUUACUGCUGUACUGAUAUAUAAUAUAAAAUAAUGUCGUAUCGGUGUAAUUUUGUGCCAUAAUGUAUAAAGAUAUUGUUACGCCUUAUGGGACAUGUUGGAAUUUAUUUAUACAUGUACUGUGAAAUUUUAAAUAAUUUCAAUUUCCGUCUUUGUGUUUGUAAAUA
RNAcentral lists this long non-coding RNA (885 nucleotides) under Olea europaea subsp. europaea. The record is from RNAcentral. Lineage: Eukaryota; Viridiplantae; Streptophyta; Magnoliopsida; Lamiales; Oleaceae.